GACGAACGCUGGUGGCGUGCUUAACACAUGCAAGUCGAACGGGAUUUAGUAAACAGAAGCCUCGGUGGAAGAUUACUAAUGAGAGUGGCGAACGGGUGAGUAACGCGUGAGCAACCUGCCUAUGACAGUGGGAUAGCCUCGGGAAACCGGGAUUAAUACCGCAUAAAAUCGUAGAAACACAUGUUUUAACGGUCAAAGAUUUAUCGGUCAUAGAUGGGCCCGCGUCUGAUUAGCUAGUUGGUGAGAUAACAGCCCACCAAGGCGACGAUCAGUAGCCGGUCUGAGAGGAUGAACGGCCACAUUGGAACUGAGACACGGUCCAAACUCCUACGGGAGGCAGCAGUGGGGAAUAUUGCACAAUGGGGGAAACCCUGAUGCAGCGACGCCGCGUGAACGAAGAAGGUAUUCGUAUCGUAAAGUUCUGUCCUAUGGGAAGAUAAUGACAGUACCAUAGAAGAAAGCUCCGGCUAAAUACGUG
This 478-nucleotide ribosomal RNA is filed under the name uncultured bacterium. Its description in RNAcentral is "partial 16S ribosomal RNA". It matches the Rfam family "Bacterial small subunit ribosomal RNA", at positions 28 to 507 of the family's 1533-position model. The record is from RNAcentral.